GCAUCCCACCACAGAGAAUGACAUAGAGGUCAAAAUGUAAAGCAAGUUCUCUAUUUUGGGACUGAGACCUGCCUGACCAACUCCUUUAGGCUUCCUCCCUACAUGUCACAAAUCUGAUCCCUCUUACUGCAAGAAACUCCUUUUCAUUAAAGCUGCAAGUCUCGAAAGACAGGCUAACAUUGACAUCUCUUUAAUUUGCCUAUCACUCAUCUUGCCUCUCCCUUCUGGCAAUGUGAUCAUCAAUUAUUGACUUUGGAGUACACUUGGAAGCAUCACGAGUAACAUGUUCCAAACCACUUUUUGAAAUACGUCAUCAGACUGUGAAUUUCUGGCUUCAUCUGGCUGGUCUUACUACAUAAAGGCCCCUGGUAGGCAGAGUCUUACAGGAGGAGGAAGAGAAGGAAAUUCAGAUUCCUGCUGAGACUCCUUGGGGACAGCCAGACAUGAAGACCCUGAUGCUUUUAGGACUUGUGCUCUUGUGUAGCCAGUUCACACUGAGCUUGGCCCAGGAGGAAGAACAAGGCUCAAAAGUCAUCUCAGAGGUCGCUAACAGUUUGCAGAAUACUCUGACAAAUGCUGUGAAAGAGCUCAACAAGGUGGACUUGAUAAAAGAAAUUGAGGACGCACCAAUUAUUGGAAAUGUGCUGAAGGCAUUGAGUGGAAUGAUUGGGAAAAUAGUUUCGUUCAACAUUAAAAAUGCCCAACUCCUGAAAAUUUCCCUCACAGAAAAUCAAGACAAAAAGAGUCUCUCUCUCAGUGUGCCCUUGGAUGUCUCUCUGAGUUUGAACACAUUGCUUCUCAAGGCGAUUGAUAUCACUCUAAAUGCGAACACAUCACUUGAACUCACAACUGAAAAGAAUGAAGAUGGAGAAGCUCGCCUGAGUGUUUCCAAAUGUCAGACAAGCUCUCAACUUCUUAAAAUCUCAUCCCAGCAAACGGGUUUAUUUGGAUGGGGACUAGAAGCUUUAUCUAAAUCCGUGAGCCGACUUGCUGAGUGGGAGGUCAAGCAAUUAGUCAACAUUCUCAAGUGUGAUGGGUCCAUAGGUCAACUCCCAGGUCAGUUCUGCCCUUUGAUCAGAACCGUAGUAGGACUGGCGCCUCCAGCACUGGUAGGCGCUUUGCAUGAUGUGGUACAUGGGGACGUCACUGUUACUGUGUAAUUCUCCAUUAAAUGGACAAUAACUUCCCUCCUCCCCCAAGGAUAAGACCCUCUUGCUCUUCUUUUCCUUCUGCCUGAAGCCAUUUAAAGCCAGAGGACAACUUACUGGAU
This 1270-nucleotide long non-coding RNA is filed under the name Vombatus ursinus (common wombat). Its description in RNAcentral is "lncRNA (ENSVURG00010013758.1)". The record is from RNAcentral. Lineage: Eukaryota; Metazoa; Chordata; Mammalia; Diprotodontia; Vombatidae.